This 459-nucleotide ribosomal RNA is filed under the name uncultured bacterium. RNAcentral describes it as "partial 16S ribosomal RNA". It matches the Rfam family "Bacterial small subunit ribosomal RNA", at positions 338 to 795 of the family's 1533-position model. The record is from RNAcentral.
CCUACGGGAGGCAGCAGUGAGGAAUAUUGGUCAAUGGACGGAAGUCUGAACCAGCCAUGCCGCGUGCAGGAAGACGGCUCUAUGAGUUGUAAACUGCUUUUGUACAAGGGUAAACCUGUAUACGUGUCUUCUGCUGAAAGUACUGUACGAAUAAGGAUCGGCUAACUCCGUGCCAGCAGCCGCGGUAAUACGGGGGAUACAAGCGUUAUCGGAAUUUAUUGGGUUUAACGGGUGCGUAGGCGGAUUGAUAGUUAGAGGUGAAAUGUCCGGGCUUAACUUGGGAACUGCCUCUAAUAUUGGUGAACUAGAGAGUAGAUGCGGUAGGGGGAAUGUAUGGUGUAGCGGUGAAAUGCUUAGAGAUCAUACAGAACACCGAUUGCGAAGGCAGCUUACCAAUCUAUAUCUGACGUUGAGGCACGAAAGCGUGGGGAGCAAACAGGAUUAGAUACCCCAGUAGUC